This 250-nucleotide ribosomal RNA is filed under the name uncultured bacterium. RNAcentral describes it as "partial 16S ribosomal RNA". It matches the Rfam family "Bacterial small subunit ribosomal RNA", at positions 524 to 773 of the family's 1533-position model. The record is from RNAcentral.
UACGUAGGGUGCAAGCGUUAAUCGGAAUUACUGGGCGUAAAGCGAGCGCAGGCGGUUUUGUAAGUCAGAUGUGAAAGCCCCGGGCUUAACCUGGGAACUGCGUUUGAAACUACAAGGCUAGAGUAUGGGAGAGGGGGGUAGAAUUCCACGUGUAGCAGUGAAAUGCGUAGAGAUGUGGAGGAAUACCAAUGGCGAAGGCAGCCCCCUGGCCUAAUACUGACGCUCAUGCUCGAAAGCGUGGGGAGCAAAC